UUGAAAGGGAAACGAUUGAAGUCAGUCGUACCGACGAGAAAUCAGCUUUUCGAAUGUGCAUUUGUGGGCGUAUGAGAUCUUCAUUGUUUGCAAUAUGUAUGUUUCUUUGGUGUACUUUUUCGUAUGGUAGGUCAACGUCGGUUUUGGUCGCCAUAAAAUGAUCGGAGGAAUGUAGCUUCGACCUCGGUUGAAGUGUUAUAGCCUUUGGUAAAUGUGGUGAUUAAGACCGAGGAUUGCAACGAAUACCUUUUAGGCUAUCCGUCUGACCUCUGAAAGUUACUUAGGUGCCGAAAGCUUGCUUACGGUCAUUUAAGUUGACGGUCAAUAGGUUAGAACGUGAUUCCAUCGUUAAGGAUGUUGACGUA
Molecule: ribosomal RNA, 365 nt
Filed under: uncultured Glomeromycotina
Lineage: Eukaryota; Fungi; Glomeromycota
Description: LSU rRNA
Source: RNAcentral